Molecule: ribosomal RNA, 710 nt
Filed under: Faecalibacterium prausnitzii
Lineage: Bacteria; Bacillati; Bacillota; Clostridia; Eubacteriales; Oscillospiraceae
Description: bacterial SSU rRNA
Rfam family: Bacterial small subunit ribosomal RNA
Source: RNAcentral
UAAACUCUUGUUGUUGAGGAAGAUAAUGACGGUACUCAACAAGGAAGUGACGGCUAACUACGUGCCAGCAGCCGCGGUAAAACGUAGGUCACAAGCGUUGUCCGGAAUUACUGGGUGUAAAGGGAGCGCAGGCGGGAAGACAAGUUGGAAGUGAAAUCUAUGGGCUCAACCCAUAAACUGCUUUCAAAACUGUUUUUCUUGAGUAGUGCAGAGGUAGGCGGAAUUCCCGGUGUAGCGGUGGAAUGCGUAGAUAUCGGGAGGAACACCAGUGGCGAAGGCGGCCUACUGGGCACCAACUGACGCUGAGGCUCGAAAGUGUGGGUAGCAAACAGGAUUAGAUACCCUGGUAGUCCACACCGUAAACGAUGAUUACUAGGUGUUGGAGGAUUGACCCCUUCAGUGCCGCAGUUAACACAAUAAGUAAUCCACCUGGGGAGUACGACCGCAAGGUUGAAACUCAAAGGAAUUGACGGGGGCCCGCACAAGCAGUGGAGUAUGUGGUUUAAUUCGACGCAACGCGAAGAACCUUACCAAGUCUUGACAUCCUGUGACGAUGCUAGAAAUAGUAUUUUCCUUCGGGACGCAGAGACAGGUGGUGCAUGGUUGUCGUCAGCUCGUGUCGUGAGAUGUUGGGUUAAGUCCCGCAACGAGCGCAACCCUUAUGGUCAGUUACUACGCAAGAGGACUCUGGCCAGACGGCCGUUGACAAA